This 636-nucleotide ribosomal RNA is filed under the name Aquitalea sp. Se1Pw_3088. RNAcentral describes it as "bacterial SSU rRNA". It matches the Rfam family "Bacterial small subunit ribosomal RNA", at positions 383 to 1012 of the family's 1533-position model. Lineage: Bacteria; Pseudomonadati; Pseudomonadota; Betaproteobacteria; Neisseriales; Chromobacteriaceae. The record is from RNAcentral.
CUGAUCCAGCCAUGCCGCGUGUCUGAAGAAGGCCUUCGGGUUGUAAAGGACUUUUGUCAGGGAGGAAAUCCCUAAGGUUAAUACCCUUGGGGGAUGACAGUACCUGAAGAAUAAGCACCGGCUAACUACGUGCCAGCAGCCGCGGUAAUACGUAGGGUGCAAGCGUUAAUCGGAAUUACUGGGCGUAAAGCGUGCGCAGGCGGUUGUGUAAGUCUGAUGUGAAAGCCCCGGGCUCAACCUGGGAACUGCAUUGGAGACUGCACGGCUAGAGUGCGUCAGAGGGGGGUAGAAUUCCGCGUGUAGCAGUGAAAUGCGUAGAGAUGCGGAGGAAUACCGAUGGCGAAGGCAGCCCCCUGGGAUGACACUGACGCUCAUGCACGAAAGCGUGGGGAGCAAACAGGAUUAGAUACCCUGGUAGUCCACGCCCUAAACGAUGUCAACUAGCUGUUGGGGGUUUGAAUCCUUGGUAGCGUAGCUAACGCGAGAAGUUGACCGCCUGGGGAGUACGGCCGCAAGGUUAAAACUCAAAGGAAUUGACGGGGACCCGCACAAGCGGUGGAUGAUGUGGAUUAAUUCGAUGCAACGCGAAAAACCUUACCUGGUCUUGACAUGUACAGAACUUUCCAGAGAUGGAUU